UACGUAGGGGGCGAGCGUUGUCCGAAGUUACUGGGCGUAAAGCGCGCGUAGGCGGGUUGGCAAGUCUGCUGUGAAAGCCCGGGGCUUAACUCCGGAGGGUCGGUGGAUACUGCCAGUCUUGAAGGUGCUAGGGAGAGAUGGAAUUACCGGUGUAGCGGUGAAAUGCGUAGAUAUCCGAAGGAACAUCAGUGGCGAAAGCGACUUCCUGGACCAGAACUGACGAUCAGGCACGAAAGCGUGGGGAGCAAACAGG
This 253-nucleotide ribosomal RNA is filed under the name uncultured bacterium. RNAcentral's name for it is "partial 16S ribosomal RNA". It matches the Rfam family "Bacterial small subunit ribosomal RNA", at positions 524 to 776 of the family's 1533-position model. The record is from RNAcentral.